This 67-nucleotide transfer RNA is filed under the name Leucauge celebesiana. RNAcentral's name for it is "tRNA-Tyr". Lineage: Eukaryota; Metazoa; Arthropoda; Arachnida; Araneae; Tetragnathidae. The record is from RNAcentral.
UUUUAAGAAAUCAAUUAAUGAUGAUGAACUGUAAAUUCAUUUUAGAUAGCACUUUUAAUCUUGAAAA